This 468-nucleotide ribosomal RNA is filed under the name uncultured bacterium. RNAcentral's name for it is "partial 16S ribosomal RNA". It matches the Rfam family "Bacterial small subunit ribosomal RNA", at positions 28 to 507 of the family's 1533-position model. The record is from RNAcentral.
GACGAACGCUGGCGGCGUGCUUAACACAUGCAAGUCGAACGGAAAGGCCCUGCUUUUGUUGGGUGCUCGAGUGGCGAACGGGUGAGUAACACGUGAGUAACCUGCCCUUGACUUGGGGAUAACUUCAGGAAACUGGGGCUAAUACCGGAUAGGAGCUCCUGCUGCAUGGUGGGGGUUGGAAAGUUUCGGCGGUUGGGGAUGGACUCGGGGCUUAUCAGCUUGUUGGUGGGGUAGUGGCUUACCAAGGCUUUGACGGGUAGCCGGCCUGAGAGGGUGACCGGCGACAUUGGGACUGAGAUACGGCCCAGUCUGCUACGGGAGGCAGCAGUGGGGAAUAUUGAACAAUGGGCGGAAGCCUGAUGCAGCAACGCCGCGUGCGGGAUGACGGCCUUCGGGUUGUAAACCGCUUUCGCCUGUGACGAAGCGUGAGUGACGGUAAUGGGUAAAGAAGCACCGGCUAACUACGUG